This 1698-nucleotide ribosomal RNA is filed under the name Triticum aestivum (bread wheat). RNAcentral's name for it is "partial small subunit ribosomal RNA". The record is from RNAcentral. Lineage: Eukaryota; Viridiplantae; Streptophyta; Magnoliopsida; Poales; Poaceae.
AUGAAAAUAAUGAAUCACGAAGAUGGCGAUGAUACUUGGGGUUCUCAAAGGUCAGAAACGCCCCCUUGGGAUGCAUCAGAGUACAGUCAACUCAUCUUUGCAGGGCCGUUGCUGCCACUACUAGAACAGUAUGCAGGCAUUGGUUCUUAUGACCAAAACACUCUCAGGGGGGCCCCGUGGCAAGUUCAGUCACAAGGCGCUAACACUGACAAAUGUGCGGGCAGCCAACUUCAACUAGCUAAUAUGGCUAAUCAAGAGCCUUCGUGCAGCACGUGGCAUCAGGCAGCACCCAUGUACCUGCCAUCGACGUCAUACACAGGUUAUUACGGUGGUGGUAACCGGGCAAACGUCUCGUGGCAAGAUUCACAAAUUGCAGGUGGAGCACGUCAUUUUGGUGUCACAGACCACACAAGAUGGUCACAUGCAGCACAACAAGGGCCUACAACUACAGUGAACAGCGGCGCGGGCACAUCUACUGCGGGAAGCUGUGAGCGCACAGAAGACGCGUUCCCCCAGCCAGCAGACAAUCAUGCCGCAAAUAAUGCCGAGUCAGUGUUAGAAAUGGCAAUCAUUCCAGCAAUUCCCACAGCCACCCCUUUGAACGCAAGCACAGGCAACACUCAAAUCGAUGAAACUGCUGCCGAUAUUGAAGUGAAUGAUGAAACUGACGACGAGGCACAAGGGGAUGAAGAUGAUGGGCAACCAGAUAUCAUGGUACCUCAACCACCGUACGUUGGGCAAAGAUUUGAAUCGUUUGCAGAAGCAAAGGAAUUCUACCAGACAUAUGCAAAGUUCCAUGGGUUUGCCGUCAACACCGAAUACCAUAGAAAAAUUAAGAAAACUAAUGAGUACAGCAGAGGUGAGAUGAGGUGCCACAAGGCACGAAGGAACAAGAAAGGGAAAGGUGUUGCGCCUAUCAUUCCGGAACGAAAGAGAGGGAUCAUUCUCAAGACGGGUUGUCCUGUCCGGUUUGCCAUGUUUAAUGCACUGUACUGCCAUUGGGGCAUGUUGAAAACACACAAAACUUGCAGAUUCCGGGAAGAAAUAAAGCGUGCCAGCAUGUUCACGGCUUUCCAGGUGGACGAACAUACGUUCAAGGUGUGUUCUAUUUUGGGCAUGUCGGAUUCAGAACCUGAAGACCCAGACAAAGGAAGGAACUACUUCGUGAAAGCCUCGAUCGAACAAGGCGAAUACUACUGCCAAUGGUGCAAGUUUGAACAGGACGGCAUUGUGUGCUGUCACAUACUGAAAGUAAUGGACAUGAACGCUGUGACACGCAUGCCCCGCCAUUUCAUAAGGCGGCGAUGGACUUGGGACGCUGACGACACGUUUGCGCCGCAGACAACAAACACAGUUCUAGCUGUGCAUGACGAGAGACCUGAGGCAACCAUGGAAGCCGUGAGGCACGUUGUGCUGACAAAGAACUAUGCUGAGCUAAUUGAUGAAGCAUGCAAGAGUGAUGAGACAGCGAGAGUCGCAGAAAAACACAAGAAGGCCCUGAAAAGAGAGCUUGAUGAGAUCAAGAAGAGGAAAGCUGAGGAAGCCUUACACCGGUUCCCCCGCACAUCAAGUGUGCCUUCAUCCACGGGGCCAUCAUCUGAAAACUCUGAGAUAAGAUCUAGAACAGCAAGCACACAAACCCAGGUCAGGAACCCACCCCGUUCCAUCACAAAGGGUCGUCCAAGAGAGAUAAGUUAA